Molecule: non-coding RNA, 404 nt
Organism: Pelobates cultripes (western spadefoot toad)
Lineage: Eukaryota; Metazoa; Chordata; Amphibia; Anura; Pelobatidae
Source: the annotation of a GenBank genome assembly
GGACAGUGUAGGGGCUAUUUGAACUGGCCAUCUUGGGUAUAGCUCCCAGGAUUGGCCCAUUUCAUUGGUGACCCUAUGCCUCCCUAUUGGAUGUACCCCUGGAUGAAAUGCUGGGGAAGGCCUACAGCCCAGGCUCAAAGUACACCGUACGCAUAGAUCGCAUGGAAAGAACGGAAUCUUCGGUCGACUUUGGGUUCCCUGGUCGUUCACAAUCUUGGGAUAAAUGACAGGACUACCUCUACUCCUGUGAGAGCAUCUGGAGAACGUGAUUCGGUUAUGGAGGACCCUCCUUCUAUACACUAAUCCCUCACAGGAACCGUCUUGGUUUUGGAUUUCCGCUAACCCACCUAUUCAACUACUGUCAAGGAGGCCUACUUGGGCUCUGUGGGGGAAUCCUGUGUGCC